CGACUGCCACCAUGCCCGAAGGCUGGAACGAGGAGGACGACGGAUUGUGGGAAGCUCCAGAAGUGUCCAACGCCGCGGCCCUCAGAAGCAACCCGAGGUUCUU
Molecule: non-coding RNA, 103 nt
Filed under: uncultured eukaryote
Lineage: Eukaryota
Source: RNAcentral